Molecule: ribosomal RNA, 253 nt
Filed under: uncultured bacterium
Lineage: Bacteria
Description: partial 16S ribosomal RNA
Rfam family: Bacterial small subunit ribosomal RNA
Source: RNAcentral
GACGUAGGGCGCGAGCGUUGUCCGGAUUUAUUGGGCGUAAAGAGCUCGUAGGCGGCUUGUCGCGUCGAAUGUGAAAUCUCAGGGCUCAACUCUGACAUUGCAUUCGAUACGGGCAAGCUAGAGUUCGGUAGGGGAGACUGGAAUUCCUGGUGUAGCGGUGAAAUGCGCAGAUAUCAGGAGGAACACCGGUGGCGAAGGCGGGUCUCUGGGCCGAUACUGACGCUGAGGAGCGAAAGCGUGGGGAGCGAACAGG